UACGGAGGGUGCAAGCGUUAUCCGGAUUCACUGGGUUUAAAGGGUGCGUAGGCGGACAGGUAAGUCAGUGGUGAAAUCUCUGGGCUUAACCCAGAAACUGCCGUUGAUACUAUUUGUCUUGAAUAUCCUGAGGUAGGCGGAAUAUGUCAUGUAGCGGUGAAAUGCUUAGAUAUGACAUAGAACACCGAUAGCGAAGGCAGCUUGCUACACAAUUAUUGACACUGAGGCUCGAAAGCGUGGGGAUCAAACAGG
This 252-nucleotide ribosomal RNA is filed under the name uncultured bacterium. Its description in RNAcentral is "partial 16S ribosomal RNA". It matches the Rfam family "Bacterial small subunit ribosomal RNA", at positions 524 to 776 of the family's 1533-position model. The record is from RNAcentral.